RNAcentral lists this small RNA (53 nucleotides) under Flavobacterium cauense R2A-7. RNAcentral describes it as "Flavo-1 RNA". It matches the Rfam family "Flavo-1 RNA". Lineage: Bacteria; Pseudomonadati; Bacteroidota; Flavobacteriia; Flavobacteriales; Flavobacteriaceae. The record is from RNAcentral.
UUCUAGCCCUGAUUGCAGCGGUUGCCGUGCAAAAGCGGAAAGCAGGAAUAAGG